GAAUGUGGUUUGGGAAGGACAUACCAGUCUCAGAUGGGCCUCCUCAGUCAUCCGUAGACUCACUGCUGGGUUCCCUAUUUACUGGAAGACGGUCUUUGUAAUGAGGGACUGUCACCGCUGCUGUCAACCUGAUAAAUAUCUUUGAAGCGCAUUGUUGUCAGUAGCAGAGAAAGCAUUCAUGAAAUACGUCUGGAAAUAAGAGACUGGAUCUAUGCAGGGCUGGGCUUUGGAACGGAGACUCAUCCUACAAUACUGCUGCCAGUCCUGUCAGUUUUGUGGAAGGUUUUACCUCUUCUUGAGAACAGGUGGUAAGAAAACCUCAUUGGUUUCAUAGUUCUUUGGCUCCAUUUCCUGUUUGCAGGUGCUAACUUAAUUAGAAUCAUGGGGCAGAACUGAGCAAGAUAUUUUCCGUGGGAAAAGCUCCAAGAUAAUACUGGAUUAUUAUUUAUCGAUCUCCCUUUCAACACCUACAUUCUGCCAGGAUAGGGGAGGAAUGUGAUGCGGGAGACAAGAAUUUACACAUGAACGGAGGCCCGCCAAAGCAGCAAACCUUUUCUAGACAUUGGAAAGAGCUGAUGAAAAAUUUUCUGUCAAAGCUGUUUUUCAGUAGAAAAUUGGUGUGUGUGUCUGAUAAAUUGAUAUUUUUUUGUGAAAGGUGUUUGCUUUUUAUCUUUCUUAUGAAGUC
Long non-coding RNA from Alligator sinensis (Chinese alligator), 685 nucleotides. RefSeq lists it as uncharacterized. Lineage: Eukaryota; Metazoa; Chordata; Crocodylia; Alligatoridae. The transcript has 4 exons. The record is from RefSeq and is a predicted model, not a curated record.